RNAcentral lists this long non-coding RNA (1359 nucleotides) under Panax ginseng (ginseng). RNAcentral describes it as "long non-coding RNA (PGIN_LNC005723)". The record is from RNAcentral. Lineage: Eukaryota; Viridiplantae; Streptophyta; Magnoliopsida; Apiales; Araliaceae.
GAAAACCCUCGCUCCCAAAAUUGAUUCCCUUGAAAUCGAUAGCUGCAAAUUCGGUGAGAGAGAAAGCGAAGCGCUUCAUCCCCUCCAACAACGCAACUGCAAAAAUCGAAGAGAGAGAAAGCCAAGUCCCUCCAGAAACGCGAUUGCUGCAAAUUCGAAGCUAGAGAGAAGAGAAAGCGAAGCCCUAGAAUCCUAUUCGGCCCUUCUCUCCGCCCUCGCCUUCGCCCGUCCAGUUCGUCCCGGCGUCCAGCUCAAAUCGCAUAGCAGGUCUGCCAUCGUUUGAACAUUACCUUUCAAAAAUUCUUAUAUAAAAGUUGAGGAACUGUGCAUAACUAACCUAAGAUUGUGUUAGUUAUUUGGGAAUUUCUUGUUUACUAAUUUCUUGGUUGUUAUUAUUGAAGUAUUCAUUGAGAUUUGGGAAACUAUGUGCCUCGCAAAGCAAUAAUUCGUAACAUUAUGCUCAAAUCGUUCCUCUGCUCUUCUCAUCUUUGUUGUAUGGUAAAAGGAUAUAAUAAUAACUGGAGACUAUGUAAUGUUGAUAAUGAAUUUUUUUAGGAAAAAAAUUUAGGUACCACUUUUUGACAAUCAGUUAUGUGAUAUCACUUUCUUAACAGACUCCCACUUCGAUUUCAAGGCAAGUGAUAAGAGUAAGUAAUUGAGAGAUAUGAAGCUUGUUCUGAGUCCUUUAUAUGAAGCUUGAUGACUGUGUUAAAUUUAUACUGAUGGAUACCAAGUGAUAGUUAAUGAAGAAACUUUAGCCUUACGCAUACAUAUUUUUCCAACCUCCAUAAUUGUGGAUAAUUUUGCCUAUAAUUUUAAAAAUAAAUAAAUUAUGCAUACAUAUUUAGCCAAGGUCGGGAUGGUAGUUUUUUGCCACUGGCUGAUUUUCUUACACGGUUUUCUCAUGGUGAAAAGUUAACUAUUGGUCUCGGUUAUAUCUUCAGCUCUUUUAGCUCUUUCCUUUGUCAUCCCAGUAUAUCCAUUAAUUUGACUUGACUUUCAAGAUGGCAAGUGAAGUCUUAUUUCCAGAACUAGUUGUAUCCUUUGUCAUCCCAAUAUAUCUUCAGAACUAGUUGUGCUCUGUGAUAUGUUUCUGCAUUAGUGUUAAUUGUUUUAUCAUACUGAAUAUGAAAACCAACUUGGUUCUCUAAGCAAACAAUCACAAAAUUGAGUUCCUUUAUUCUCAGAUGCAUAUGGUCCAUUGAACUCGUUCAACUUGGUGAUUUCAAACUGGAGUAUGAGUUUUAAGUUUAUUUGUUGUGCCUUGUAGAAUUGGAGAAUCAAAUGUUGGUGCUACUCAGGAUCUACGUGUAGAUGAUGAAUGUGAUUCACCCACAUGUUGAACUGAGAUUUCUAUAA